Leptinotarsa decemlineata (Colorado potato beetle) is the source of this 1818-nucleotide long non-coding RNA. NCBI's taxonomy places the organism in Eukaryota, Metazoa, Arthropoda, Insecta, Coleoptera, Chrysomelidae. The record is from RefSeq and is a predicted model, not a curated record.
UCUUCUUAGUUUAUCAGUUGCAGCAGAAUAUAAAGCUAACAAUUUUUAUUUUCGCUAUAUCACAACUAACUUCAUUUCGUAGCACAACAAAUUUCCAAAUAAUUUAACCAAGAUGCUCUCAAAAACAUUGUUCUUCAGUUCCCUCUUCGUUGUCUUCGCGGUCCUUUUGCUAGACGCAUCAGUUGAAGCCCGAUACCUCCCCACCAGGGCCAAUGGGGACCGUGUGGAUAAGCUUAGAGAAAUGCUGAAAGAACUGUUAGAGAGCGAGAUAGAAAAAGAAGAAAUGGGUGACGUCCCAAGAUGGCAUCCAGAAAGCAAAUUAUUCUACAAGAGGGAAGCCCCUACACCAAAAGCAGAUACUCAAUAAAACUAAAACCCAUGACGACUAAAGCUGAGGAAAAUGGUCACGAAUUUUCGGGAAUUGUACAUAAAAAAGUUAUAUAAAAUUUUAAAUAUUUUUACUAAGUGUGAAAAAAUGUAAAAUAUUAAGAUUUUGGCAAACUGGAAGAUAUCCACCUCCCAAGAAAUUAUAGAACGUAAUAUUAUCGAAAAAUAAUAUACAGAGUGAAUCUUAUACCUUAUACAUAAUAUGCAUCAAUCGAGCAUUUCUACAUGAUAAUGAAAAUAAUAUUAUAGGUAUUGGGAUAAAAUAUGAAAAACAAACUUAUAUGUGUCUUACUUCGAUAUCAGCCACUCUGUAUAUUGUUCAUAAAGAGGUGAUUUUCAAUACCUUAGUGAAAGGCAGAGAAGUAGGAAUAUGCUACAUAAAAUAAUUUCAAUAUUUCUAUGGUUAGUUUCUAUGUAUUUGAAAUAACUUAGAUAUUCGGAGUCCUCCAAUUCGACCGAUUAUAUGAUCGGAAAUGAUUAAUUUUGGUUAACAAUGUGAAGGAAAGAAGUGAAGAGUUCCUUCGUAAUAUCUUUUUGGCAAAAAGGAGUCCGUUAAUAUUUUUCAAAUAUGAAUUAAAUUUUCACUUAACUUUUGAAGUGUACGUACCUAUUUAUUCAAGAAAAAUCAUAAACAAUGAAUAAUAAUUUUCAUGUUUUCUUUCAUUGAAGUUUUGAAUUUGACAUCAAUGAUGUCUAUUCAAGAAAUAGCACGAAUAGUGAUAACAAACAUCAGAAAAAGGAAUGCCAUUCAACAUUAACUAUUGAGUUCAAAAGUAAACAGUACCAUUGAUAAAAAUAUUGUGGAUAUUAUAGUAGUGAAACAAAACAUGAAGUGUUGGUUGAUUGAUUAUGUCAGUAACACAUAGUAACUAUUUCCAAACGAAACCUAUCCAAAUAAUUUUGACAGUAUUGACCGACAAGAAAAACGUAGGAACACGUUACAUAUUUUUAUGUCCAUCAUUCACAUUUCUGAAAUGCGGCCUGAAAACGAAUUACUAACGUAGGAUUUGGAGGAAACUAAGUAUUGACUAUAAAUGUCAAUAGUGUUGAUAUUGAAAACCCAUCAAGAAAUCGGAAUCUGACAAUAGUGUCAUUGAAUUGAAGUCUAUUUUCUGAAGGAAAAACUUCGGAACAUAGUGAAUGAAUAACGGGAUUCCCUAUAUUCAUAUGCGAUUAUCUGAAAUAUCGAGAAUAUAUUUCUAGCAUUGAGAAUUGUAGACAUUAAGUUAUAUUCGAUAUUAUAGAGUACCUACCGUCCUUAAAAAAAUUCAGUUUGCCAAAAUUAAUGUAGGUCAAUUUAUUAGUUAUUAUUUAUUAAAAGCAAUACUUUGAAAAACAAAUUUUAACAAUAAUAAAUGUGAUUCACUAUGAAUGUGUCUUAUGAUUAACAAGAGAAAAGUUGAGAAUAAAAACUUCCAGAUCGAAAACGAA